RNAcentral lists this transfer RNA (55 nucleotides) under Lyonsia norwegica. Its description in RNAcentral is "tRNA-Met". Lineage: Eukaryota; Metazoa; Mollusca; Bivalvia; Lyonsiidae. The record is from RNAcentral.
AGGUAGUUUAAGUAAAACAAAGGCCUCAUAAUCCUCCUAUGGGGCCCCCCCCCCU